UCGGGAAUUUUGAGCAAUGGGCGAAAGCCUGACCCAGCAACGCCGCGUGAGGGAUGAAGUAUUUCGGUAUGUAAACCUUGAAAGAAUGGGAAGAAUAAAUGACGGUACCAUUUAUAAGCUCCGGCUAACUACGUGCCAGCAGCCGCGGUAAUACGUAGGGAGCAAGCGUUGUUCGGAUUUACUGGGCGUAAAGGGCGCGUAGGCGGCGCGGUAAGUCACUUGUGAAAUCUCUGAGCUUAACUCAGAACGGCCAAGUGAUACUGCUGUGCUAGAGUGCGGAAGAGGCAACCGGAAUUCUUGGUGUAGCGGUGAAAUGCGUAGAUAUCAAGAGGAACACCUGAGGCGAAGGCGGGUUGCUGGGCCGACACUGACGCUGAUGCGCGAAAGCCAGGGGAGCAAACG
RNAcentral lists this ribosomal RNA (402 nucleotides) under uncultured bacterium. RNAcentral's name for it is "bacterial SSU rRNA". It matches the Rfam family "Bacterial small subunit ribosomal RNA", at positions 355 to 774 of the family's 1533-position model. The record is from RNAcentral.